This is a non-coding RNA of Gossypium hirsutum (cotton), 131 nucleotides long. The record is from Rfam. Lineage: Eukaryota; Viridiplantae; Streptophyta; Magnoliopsida; Malvales; Malvaceae.
UAUUAAAAAAUUCAUUCAUUUGUGUUGUUUAAAAUUGGAAUGGAUACAGUGACACGUGACGUGCCACAUGCAGCUCAUACCGACAUAUAAUGAUCAAUUUUAAAUUACUGAAAUGAAUGAUUUUUUGAACA